This is an RNA transcript of Gossypium raimondii (Peruvian cotton), 2153 nucleotides long. RefSeq lists it as uncharacterized. Lineage: Eukaryota; Viridiplantae; Streptophyta; Magnoliopsida; Malvales; Malvaceae. The transcript has 7 exons. The record is from RefSeq and is a predicted model, not a curated record.
GCAAAAGGCCAAUCUUCACUUUUCUUUAUCUUCCAUUCAUUGGUUCGUUACUUCUUUGUCUACGCUAUUAAUAUAGUAAUUUUGAGACAGUAAUCCAGUUCUCAUAGGUCGAACACUUUUUUUUUUUUUUGAAGUUUCCAAUCAAAUUUUCUCGGUCACUUUCCUGCAUUUAUUCGAGAAAAAGAAAGAAGAAAGUAUGGAGAUGCUUGCAAAUGUGUUGUCUUUUUUUCUUCCCUGAGAGAGUGACUGGAAACGGCACAGUUUGAAAGCACUUUUCUUUUGGGGACAUCUUGUGGGGUGAAAAGCUAAGAUCUGUUUGAGAGGCUCUCAAGGGAUGAAUGUGUGUACUGUAAGCUCAAAAUAUUAUGCAAUUGUUGGCGUUGAAGGGUUUGAUGAAGUUGUUUAACCUUUUCCUUUAUGAGGAAUGUGAUUGCUUUUUGGAUUUUAUUAGUGAGUUCUGAUAAUUUUGAGGUUGGAUUGACAAUGUUGAGGAUUGGAAUGAGCUAAAGAGCUGAUAAAGUGAGUGAACUUUGGACUGUUUUGAGGUUUUCAAAAGAAAAAACUGAGAUCCCUUAAUAAUUAGUGUUGAUUUGAUAGAUUUCUUAACCUAUGUCUGGUGCUCCAAGAUUGAGGUCGAUGAAUGUGACCGAUUCUGAGGCAAGGCCUGUACUAGGACCUGCCGGAAACAAAGCUGGUUCGUUGAGUGCUAGAAAACCAGCUUCAAAGCCUUCGAAGAAGGUUGAAAAGUCUUCCGUUGAGGUGACUGUAGUAGAGGAGAAAAAGGCACUUCCAUCAUCAACUGUUAAUUCUCUUUCUCCAAAAACUCAUUCUCUGAGUGUUCCUUCAGUGCUACGCCGCCAUGAACGUCUAUUACAUUCUAGUUUAUCGCUAAAUGCCUCAUGUUCAUCGGAUGCUUCCACAGAUUCAUUUCAAAGUCGAGCAUCAACUGGUAGGUUAAGUCGUUGCGGUAGUUUAGGAAGUAGGAGGAAGCCAUAUGCAUCAAAGCCGAAAAGUCUUGUUUCUGAUGACAGUUUGGAUUUGUCAUCUAAUAGUUCACAUCAUAAGAAGAGAUGCACAUGGGUGACACCAAAUACAGAUCCAAGUUAUGCUGCUUUCCAUGACGAAGAGUGGGGAGUUCCUGUACAUGAUGACAAGAAACUGUUUGAGCUGCUUGUACUCUCGGGUUCAUUAUCUGAACUUACAUGGUCUGCUAUCCUAAGCAAAAGGCACAUAUUUAGAGAAGUUUUUAUGGAUUUUGAUCCUGUUGCUGUAUCAAAAUUGAAUGAGAAGAAGUUAAUAGCACAUGGUAGCGUGGCAAGUUCUUUGUUAUCAGAACUAAUGCUGCGAGCUAUUGUUGAGAAUGCACGCCAAAUAUCUAAGGUUAUAGAUGAGUUUCGGUCGUUCGACCAGUAUAUUUGGAGUUUUGUGAACCACAAGCCUAUAGUUAGCAGAUUCAGAUACCCUCGUCAGGUUCCAGUUAAGACCCCAAAAGCAGAUGUCAUAAGCAAAGAUCUCGUAAGAAGAGGUUUCCGAAGCGUUGGGCCGACAGUCAUCUACUCUUUCAUGCAAGUGGCGGGAAUAACAAACGACCAUCUCACAAGUUGUUUCAGAUUCCAGGAAUGUAUAACUGCAGCAGAAGCAAAAGAAGAAAAUGUAACCAAAGAUACGACUGAAAAGAAAGAAACUGUUAAUGUGAUCAACACAGAAUUGUCCGUAGCUAUCGAUGAAUUGAGUUUCUCCACCGAAUGACGCUGGGUGGUGGUAGAUGGCGUUCCAGGUUCGACCAUCAGUUUACCACAUUAAUUGAUUCAAUACACUUACUCUUGGGUAAUAACUUGAAAAAGUUCAGUAAGUAAAGAUCAUCUUUUACAUACCCGACACUGGCAUUGGUUGCUGCUGCCUAGAUUUGCCACUGGAUCUGUGGCCAUCAGUUUCUUUACCAUCAUAUUAUUAUGUGGGACUGGCUGAAGGUGUGGACUCAAACCUUGUAAGUUGCUGGACAGCUAAAACUUACAGUUGACAAAAGUCUGUUUGCUUUAAAUGAGCCGGGUAAAACAUUUUUGUGUCCUGAAGGAGUCCCAUCUUUACUACGCAUGCUUGUUUGUUGUGUUGGACCCAAUAUUACAAAUGCUGUAGGGUACCUCUGUUUCCUU